Molecule: ribosomal RNA, 333 nt
Filed under: Triticum aestivum (bread wheat)
Lineage: Eukaryota; Viridiplantae; Streptophyta; Magnoliopsida; Poales; Poaceae
Description: partial small subunit ribosomal RNA
Source: RNAcentral
AUGAUUUUAAUAGUCUGGCCCUGCUGUAGAAAACAGUUUACAUACAUGCCUGGAUGUGUUCGAGAUGCAUUGCAGUGUGUACUCAUAGGUGGUCGUGAAGGGCGACUAAAAGUAAUCCAUCAUCACAUCAAGUUUCUGGAAUUCUGGGGAUCGAAAUCAGAUCGAGAUGCCAAUGUCCUGUAUGUUGCUUCAGUUAUAUGGCUUGAGCUGGUCAAUCUGCAAGAUGAUGCAAAAAAUUGCUUGCAGAUAGUCUGUAUGUAUGUGUACAGACAUGCAUGUUGUAUGUUUAUAUCAAUUUUGCAAAUUGACAUUUGUUCAGAUGCUUCUAAGUAG